UUUUUUUUUUAAAAAAAAAUCCUUUUACCCAUUUUUUCUCUCAAACUCUCCCUCUUGUCCAGCUAUGGGACGGUGGAUCUCCGUUGUGGCCACCAGUCAUUAGCAACUGAUAUCUCCACCUCCGGUCGCAGGAGUUCCCCAAAAUAGGCAUUUUGACCCCCUUUUCGAGUAGAAUACAAAUCCGGGUUUUAAAUUCCCAGAAAUUUGGUCGAUGUUCGGCCGAAGGAAAAGAAACCUUUCAGUUUCUCCCUUUUCAAACGAGGCCCUCGACGGAACCCUAGAGGUUCUGAGGUUUCUUGAGUCGAAAAAAAGGGGCUCUAUGAUGGCGCUAUAACAGGUAAAAAAAAUAAAUCUGUCUUUUAUUCUUUUUUUUUAUAUUUGCUUCGAAAUAAAAAAUAAAAGAGCUAUCCUUUUGGAACUCUGUUAUUUUUUUGUAUUAUAUUGAUGGUCUCCUCUUUCUGUUACAUAGUGGCUUCGGCUUUAUAGCCGAAUAUUACAACAUAUUUUUUAUGUUUUGUUUGUUUCUGCCAUUCCCUGCUUCUACAUCUCUAUCCUCUAUUCUUUGUCUUCUUACUCUUUUUGCAGGUGGUGGCGGCGAAAAGUGGUGUUUGCCAAUGUGGCAAAGGGACGGCGACACUAAUAGCUUAGGGUCUUAGGGUUUCUAACAUUCUUUUUUUUAUUAUUAGGUUUUGGGCUUGAAUGUAUUAGGUUAGUAUUUGGGCUUGUCUGUUCUUGUAAAUGGACUUAGGCUUUUUAUUUUAUUUAUUUAUUUGGUUUCUGUUUGGGCCGGAUGAACUUGGGCCACACAACACUUAUGAUGAUUAUUCAUAAGAAGAUACGGAUGACAUAGUAGCUUCCUAGAAUUUCACUAUGUAGAAGAAGAUACGAAUAACAUAGUAGCUUGCUAGAAUUCUACCUUUUGUUUGGAUCAAUAGUAAAACAUUCCCUUGAGAAACUCUUUCCUAGUUUCAACACGUUUUUCGGGAUGUUGGGUGAUUCUCCCC
RNAcentral lists this long non-coding RNA (1004 nucleotides) under Gossypium barbadense (sea-island cotton). RNAcentral's name for it is "long non-coding RNA (GBAR_LNC006029)". The record is from RNAcentral. Lineage: Eukaryota; Viridiplantae; Streptophyta; Magnoliopsida; Malvales; Malvaceae.